UACAUCUAAGGGACAAAGGGCAUGGGUUGGGGGUCCAACACUGCAGGUUCACUUCCCCGCGUUGCUGUUUUCAGCUGUGUGGCCCUGGCUUGCACACCUCAUCUUUCUGAGCCUCCAUUUCCUCAUCUACUAAUGGGUCUGGUCCCUGAACUUUUUUUUGCCCUGAUGUGAUUCUCAGAAAGAAUGUGGCAGGGUCCCCAGAACAGGAUAUGUACAAAAUUCUUUUUAGGAGCUACCAUAGCAGUGCUUUCAUUCUAAACCAGUUCUUCCUUCAGACAGUGAAUUGAGAAGGCAAGAGAGGAAAUACGAACUGAACUUUAAUCUAACCUGACUUCAUCUUUGCAGGAUUUCAAAUAUUAGUGAGGAAAGAGAGGAACAGGGCAAGAGAGAAAACAUGAACAUGAAACAGGUUGGAAACCAUGGUAAAACAUUCCAUGAAUUGCAGCGAUGAGUGCCUCUGCAGGGGACCAGCCCAGGAUGGUCUGAUCCAGACUCGGGUGAUGGCAGGGGGGCAGCAGGCCCCCUUCCUCGGCCCCUCUGGCCAACAUUCCCUGCCAGCCUCCAUGGACCAGAGCUGGGGGACAGGGGACUGUGCCUCGGAAGUCUGGAGGGGAAGGGGUGGCUUCCUGACUCAAGCACUCAGGGCCUUUUAAGAAACCCAUCCCUGAGGCCCACACCUCCCCAUGUGCACAAAAUCUCCUUCCCAUGUGAUAACACUGAGGGCCACCCUUCUGCCUGAUGUAUGCACACCAAGGUUUGAACCAGCAUUGAAUUCUGGUUACUUUUGCAAGGGUCGUGGAGGUGAAACCUGGCUGUGUCAUGCGGUCAAAGUUCAAAUGUCACUUUGAAGCUAAGACAGUCAAUCACUGCAGGAGGGGAGAGACAGAGACUUGGGAAGCUGAGGCCAUCUUCCCCUGGGGUGACAGUACCCCCCCUCAAUUCCUGGUUCCCAGGAAGGCCUGUCCCUCCUCUGAGAAAAUUCAUCUUCCUCCCAAGUCCCAACACUGUCCAUACACCCCCACCCAUCCCAGUUGCUGUUCUGUCUGACCAAGAGGGGCUGGGGCUUGAACCCUGGAUCUUUUGCUCACCUGCCAAGUGCCCUGCCCUGGAGGAGGGCAGUGCUUUGCCCCAUUCU
Molecule: long non-coding RNA, 1135 nt
Filed under: Sus scrofa (pig)
Lineage: Eukaryota; Metazoa; Chordata; Mammalia; Artiodactyla; Suidae
Description: lncRNA (ENSSSCG00015056658.1)
Source: RNAcentral